CGGAGGAUCCAAGCGUUAUCCGGAUUUAUUGGGUUUAAAGGGUAGCGUAGGCGGUUUAGUUAAGUCAGCGGUGAAAUUUUAGGUUGCUUAACACCAAACGUAGCCGUUGAUACUGCUGGGCUAGAGAGUAGUUGCGGUAGGCGGAAUGUAUGGUGUAGCGGUGAAAUGCUUAGAGAUCAUACAGAACACCGAUUGCGAAGGCAGCUUACCAAACUAUAUCUGACGUUGAGGCACGAAAGCGUGGGGAGCAAACAGGAUU
Molecule: ribosomal RNA, 259 nt
Filed under: uncultured bacterium
Lineage: Bacteria
Description: partial 16S ribosomal RNA
Rfam family: Bacterial small subunit ribosomal RNA
Source: RNAcentral